AUGCUGCGGUAAAUAUCAAAUGCGCCCUUAGCUCAGUUGGAUAGAGCAACGGCCUUCUAAGCCGUAGGUCACAG
RNAcentral lists this transfer RNA (74 nucleotides) under Yersinia enterocolitica (type O:5,27) str. YE149/02. Its description in RNAcentral is "transfer RNA-Arg". The stretch from base 22 to 74 matches the Rfam family "tRNA", at positions 1 to 50 of the family's 71-position model. From Rfam's summary of the family: Transfer RNA (tRNA) molecules are approximately 80 nucleotides in length. Their secondary structure includes four short double-helical elements and three loops (D, anti-codon, and T loops). Further hydrogen bonds mediate the characteristic L-shaped molecular structure. tRNAs have two regions of fundamental functional importance: the anti-codon, which is responsible for specific mRNA codon recognition, and the 3' end, to which the tRNAs corresponding amino acid is attached (by aminoacyl-tRNA synthetases). tRNAs cope with the degeneracy of the genetic code in two manners: having more than one tRNA (with a specific anti-codon) for a particular amino acid; and 'wobble' base-pairing, i.e. permitting non-standard base-pairing at the 3rd anti-codon position. The record is from RNAcentral. Lineage: Bacteria; Pseudomonadati; Pseudomonadota; Gammaproteobacteria; Enterobacterales; Yersiniaceae.